This 880-nucleotide ribosomal RNA is filed under the name uncultured bacterium. RNAcentral describes it as "bacterial SSU rRNA". It matches the Rfam family "Bacterial small subunit ribosomal RNA", at positions 11 to 884 of the family's 1533-position model. The record is from RNAcentral.
GUUUGAUCAUGGCUCAGAUUGAACGCUGGCGGCAUGCUUUACACAUGCAAGUCGAACGGCAGCACGGGGGCAACCCUGGUGGCGAGUGGCGAACGGGUGAGUAACACAUCGGAACGUGUCCAGUUGUGGGGGAUAACCAGUCGAAAGAUUGGCUAAUACCGCAUGAUCUGGCGACAGCAAAGCGGGGGAUCGCAAGACCUCGCGCGAUUGGAGCGGCCGAUGUCCGAUUAGCUAGUUGGUGGGGUAAAGGCCCACCAAGGCGACGAUCGGUAGCUGGUCUGAGAGGAUGAUCAGCCACACUGGGACUGAGACACGGCCCAGACUCCUACGGGAGGCAGCAGUGGGGAAUUUUGGACAAUGGGGGCAACCCUGAUCCAGCCAUGCCGCGUGAGUGAAGAAGGCCUUCGGGUUGUAAAGCUCUUUCGGUGGGAACGAAACGGUUCGUGCCAAUACCACGGACUAAUGACGGUACUCACAGAAGAAGCACCGGCUAACUACGUGCCAGCAGCCGCGGUAAUACGUAGGGUGCGAGCGUUAAUCGGAAUUACUGGGCGUAAAGCGUGCGCAGGCGGUUACUUAAGUCAGGUGUGAAAGCCCUGGGCUUAACCUAGGAAUUGCGCUUGAGACUGGGUAGCUUGGAGUGCGGCAGAGGGAGGUGGAAUUCCACGUGUAGCAGUGAAAUGCGUAGAGAUGUGGAGGAACACCGAUGGCGAAGGCAGCCUCCUGGGCCAGCACUGACGCUCAUGCACGAAAGCGUGGGGAGCAAACAGGAUUAGAUACCCUGGUAGUCCACGCCCUAAACGAUGUCAACUGGUUGUUGGUGGGGUUAAACCCAUUAGUAACGAAGCUAACGCGUGAAGUUGACCGCCUGGGGAGUACG